AUUAUGAAAUAACAUUAUGAAAAGCUGUAUGUAAUAAAUGUUUAAAUAUAUAAAUAUGUAUAUUAAAUAUAGAUGUGCUUGAAGCAGAGCCUAGUACUGAGACACAUGGGCAUAGUCAGGUAUUGCUCGUAAGAAUUUAAUCAUAGGCAACCAUUCUGAAGAGUGAAAUGGCAGGACUCACUGGAAUCAAGCACGUAUAUAAUCCCACAGCCUAAUGAAUGUUUCUCACAUGUCUACAGGGAUGUUCAUUGCAGCACUGCUGGGAUAACAGGAAGUUGGAAGAAACCUGGAGUUCCUUCACUAGAGGAAAGGUUAAGUAAAACAGAGUAAGAACACAACAUGGAAUACAAUGCAGCAGUUAGAAACUACAAACUAGAUACGAGAGGUACAUAGAGCAAACAUGGACAGACCUGAAAAACAGUGUUGAGUAAAACAGGGAAGAAGCAGAGAUCUAUAGACAUAUAAAUUAAACACACACAUGACACUACAUUCUAUAUUCUGCAAAGACUGUUAUAGUCACAGUUUCUCUGAAAUCAAUUAGAUUUUAUCUUCCUGAAGUUCCUCACCAACUAUAUUUUAAGAGAGAUCUAAUCAAAUCCCCCAAAAUGUCCCAACAAAGUGUAUGUUUGUUAUAGUCCACAAAAAGAUCAAGAAGUCACUACUUAAGAUAAAAAUGAAUAGGCGCUCUCUCAAAUGUAACAUGUUCAAAACUGAACUCAUAAUUUUCUCUCAAAAAACCUCUCUCACCCCAGGCUUCCACAUCUUAGCUGACACAAACUCCUUCCCUUUCAAGGCAAAUAUUUAGAAUCAGCCUUGACUUCUCUUUUUUCUUGUACUAUAUAUCUGAUUAAUUAGCAAAUUCUGUUAGUUCUGCCUUCAAAAUAUAUCUAGAAUCUGAUCACUUCACACCACCUUCUCUGCUACCACUCUGGCCUGAGCUGCCAUUGUGGCUCGCCAAGAUUAAUACAAAAGCCUGCUGAUUGACUCCUCCGCUUUUCUGCUGCUACACAGCAGCCUGUAAAAAUUAAGACUGGUCAUGUCACUCCUCUGUUCAAAACCUUGCAAAGCUCUCCAUUUCACCCAGAGAAAAAGCUGAAAUCCUUACUGUGAUCCAUAAGCCCUGUAUGAUCUUUAAGCUUCCUCCCUUUUCUCCCCUGGGCUUAUUCUGUUCUAUCCACCCAGGAUUCCUUUGCUGUUGCUUGAACACUCCAGACAUACUGCUGCCUCAGGGCCUUUGAAAAUACAUCACAUGACUAACUUCGGCAUCUCCUUCAGUCUUUGGUCACAUAUACCUUUACAGUGCGAUGGUACUGUAGAAGUGGAGGUGAUAUCACAACUCCCUCAAUUCUUUGACUUGUCACAAUGAGCAUAAAUUACUUUUGUAAUUUUAUAGGACACUCAUGGUAUGUGUGAGUUAAAUAACACAGUAUUUGUAAAUUUCUUAGCAAAAUGUAUGGCACAUAGUAAUACUCACUCUGUAGGUUAUUGAUAAAAACUAAAAACCCUGUAGUUUUCAGCUGGGAAUCCUGCAGAUGAUGAUGAAAAUGCAGAAAAGACACAAGCAGCUCCCUCUGACUAUUUUUUUAAAGGAGCCAAGUGUAAGAACACAGAGGGAUGGUUAGCAACUAUCAUCUUUACAGACUAGGCUGAGAGUGGGUUUAACAUGGUCAAAGGCAUACAAAACAUGUUUUUAGGUGACGUGAUAUGAUAUAGCAGUGAAGUUUUAGAAGAAUGAAAAUAUACACAGGGUACCUAUAUUUUGCUUUUAUAUAUGACCUGCUAUUGUGGGUUAAAUUAUGUCCCCCAGAAAGACAUGUUGAGAUCCUAACCCUCAGUACCUAUGAAUGUGACCCUAUCAGAAAUAGGGUUUCUGCAGAAACAAUCAACUUAAGAUGAGGUCAUAAAUACGACUUAUAUCCUUAUGAGAUGAGGGAAAUCUAUACGCAGAAAAACACACACACAGGGAGAAUGCCAUGUGAAGACAGAGGCAGAGACUGGGAUAAUGCAGCUACAAGCCAAGGAAUGUCAGAGAUCGCUAGCAAACACCAGAAGCUGGAAGAGGCAAGUAAGGAUUGCUCCCUAGAGCUUUCAGAGGGAAGACGGCUCUGCCACAUGCCUUGUUCUUGGACUCCUAGCCUCCAGAAUUAGGUCACCUGUUGGGUAAUAUCACCAUAGACUGACUACAGAAGCAGUUAUUAGCCUCCAGCCUCCUGUUCAUCUGGACACUAGAGAGAACGGAUAUUCUAAAAGCAGAAAUCUUGACACUUAAGCCAAAAAGCCCUCCCAUUCAGAAGGAUGUAUGGAUUUUUCAUACUUGCAUCUGCAGGACGCAGAUGGUCCGAGUCACAAGUAAAGAAUGUCUGGUGGUCCUGGGCAGAGAGAUUCAUGUCAUAAGGAAUCACUAACACCUUGACUCCAGAUCACGGCUUGAAACACACUGGAAUGGGAUUUUGCAUAAAGGAAGAAAGCUCAGGAAUGAUAAAUUUACACACCAUGGAUCUAGAAGGGAGUCUAUAACCCCAGAAUCACCAUCGUUUUGGGUGAUCCAUAUGCCUAUCAAUUAAAGGGCUACCUGAGUGCUGUUCAACUUCUUGAGAUGGAUGAAAAAGGAAUGAAAGGAGACAGUAAUCUUCAACUCCGCUCCUUUACUUUUGAAUAAGAGGUGAUGGAAGGCAAGGUCAGAGAGAUCUCGGUUCAAAUCUCAUGAUUUAACUGCUAUAUAACCUUGGCCAAAUUAUUUAAACUUUGUGCUUUGUGUCUGUUUUUACUUAGCAAUAUAAAGACACUGGUCAUACCUACCACUCAGAAUUUCAAUCAGAAUUAAAUGAAAUAAUAUAUGCAAAGUGCUUAAUAUAGUACACCUGGCAUGGAGUGGUAACUCAAUAAAUAGAUCUUUUGUUAUAA
Long non-coding RNA from Nomascus leucogenys (northern white-cheeked gibbon), 2904 nucleotides. RefSeq lists it as uncharacterized. The record is from RefSeq and is a predicted model, not a curated record. NCBI's taxonomy places the organism in Eukaryota, Metazoa, Chordata, Mammalia, Primates, Hylobatidae. The transcript is spliced from 6 exons.